GGGGGUGAACAGGGUUCGACCCAAUUAAACGGAUAAAAGCAGCAGGCCGCGGAUGCUAAGUUGGCCGCGUUAAAAAACCUUAGCACACUAUAAACGCCAACACUUUUGUUUUUAACCGGUUACCAAUGGCAACAUUGGUGCCGGCAGGCGUACAAGUCCCUGUCCUCAAUUAAGGAUAGGGCCUCAACCUAAGUUGCCUGUGGCUUAGGUUUGAGUUACAAACAGGAUAGUUGCGGUAAAUUAAGCCUUGGUACCGCAACGAGGUUUAAAAAGGCUUGCGCUCUGAUGUAUCCUGUCUAUCGGAGCCAUCGGAGUUAAGACCAAAAGAUAGACUAAACCUGUAGCGGCUUUUAUGCAGUUUAAUUGGGGACCGGGGUUCGAUUCCCCGCACCUCCACCA
Molecule: transfer-messenger RNA, 399 nt
Filed under: Candidatus Amesiibacteriota bacterium
Lineage: Bacteria; Candidatus Amesiibacteriota
Description: Candidatus Amesbacteria bacterium (hot springs metagenome) transfer-messenger RNA
Rfam family: transfer-messenger RNA
About the family: Bacterial tmRNA, also known as 10Sa RNA or SsrA, is named for its dual tRNA and mRNA-like properties. Its role is to liberate the mRNA from a stalled ribosome.
Source: RNAcentral